RNAcentral lists this transfer RNA (82 nucleotides) under Ourococcus multisporus. RNAcentral describes it as "tRNA-Leu". It matches the Rfam family "tRNA". From Rfam's summary of the family: Transfer RNA (tRNA) molecules are approximately 80 nucleotides in length. Their secondary structure includes four short double-helical elements and three loops (D, anti-codon, and T loops). The record is from RNAcentral. Lineage: Eukaryota; Viridiplantae; Chlorophyta; Chlorophyceae; Sphaeropleales; Selenastraceae.
ACGAAUGUGGCGAAAGGGUAGACGCGAAGCCUUCAAAAGGCUUUAGUUAUGUAACUGUGCGGGUUCAAGUCCCGCCAUUCGU